RNAcentral lists this ribosomal RNA (366 nucleotides) under Triticum aestivum (bread wheat). RNAcentral describes it as "partial small subunit ribosomal RNA". The record is from RNAcentral. Lineage: Eukaryota; Viridiplantae; Streptophyta; Magnoliopsida; Poales; Poaceae.
AUGGCCAUCUUCGACGAAUUCUUCGUCGGAGUGAUUGACCUUGGGUGCCUUAACUAUGGUAUCAUCUCGCUCAUCCCCAACGUUCUUGGGGCCUCCGACAUCCGCCAAUUCGGCCCCAUCACUAUCAUCAAUGUGAUUUUCCGAAUUCUGGCAAAAGGGUAUGCCAAUAGGGUAACCCUCCUUGCGGACCACAUUACUCACCCUAACCAAUCCUCCUUCAUCCAAGGGCGGUAUAUUCUGGAUGGGGUGCUUGUUCUUCAUGAAGUUCUCCAUGAGGUCCGAUCUAAACACCUCAAGGCGGUUUUCCUCAAGAUUGAUUUUCAUAAGGCGUAUGACACUGUUAGUUGGCCCUUCCUUCGGGAAGUC